UACGUAGGGUGCGAGCGUGGUCCGGAAUUAUUGGGCGUAAAGAGCUCGUAGGCGGCUUGUCGCGUCGGAUGUGAAAGCCCGGGGCUUAACUCCGGGUCUGCAUUCGAUACGGGCAGGCUAGAGUUCGGUAGGGGAGAUCGGAAUUCCUGGUGUAGCGGUGAAAUGCGCAGAUAUCGGGAGGAACACCGGUGGCGAAGGCGGUUCUCUGGGCCUUACCUGACGCUGAGGAGCGAAAGCGUGGGGAGCGAACAGG
RNAcentral lists this ribosomal RNA (253 nucleotides) under uncultured bacterium. RNAcentral's name for it is "partial 16S ribosomal RNA". It matches the Rfam family "Bacterial small subunit ribosomal RNA", at positions 524 to 776 of the family's 1533-position model. The record is from RNAcentral.